UACGUAGGGGGCUAGCGUUGUCCGGAAUCAUUGGGCGUAAAGCGCGUGUAGGCGGCUCGGUAAGUCCGCUGUGAAAGUCGGGGGCUCAACCCUCGAAAGCCGGUGGAUACUGUCGGGCUAGAGUACGGAAGAGGCGAGUGGAAUUCCUGGUGUAGCGGUGAAAUGCGCAGAUAUCAGGAGGAACACCGAUUGCGAAGGCAGCUCGCUGGGACGUUACUGACGCUGAGACGCGAAAGCGUGGGGAGCAAACAGGAUUAGAAACCCCGUGU
This 269-nucleotide ribosomal RNA is filed under the name uncultured bacterium. Its description in RNAcentral is "partial 16S ribosomal RNA". It matches the Rfam family "Bacterial small subunit ribosomal RNA", at positions 524 to 792 of the family's 1533-position model. The record is from RNAcentral.